This 2882-nucleotide ribosomal RNA is filed under the name Vibrio cholerae. RNAcentral's name for it is "Bacterial large subunit ribosomal RNA". It matches the Rfam family "Bacterial large subunit ribosomal RNA". Lineage: Bacteria; Pseudomonadati; Pseudomonadota; Gammaproteobacteria; Vibrionales; Vibrionaceae. The record is from RNAcentral.
GUUAAGUGACUAAGCGUACACGGUGGAUGCCUGGGCAGUCAGAGGCGAUGAAGGACGUACUAACUUGCGAUAAGCGCAGAUAAGGCAGUAAGAGCCGUUUGAGUCUGCGAUUUCCGAAUGGGGAAACCCAACUGCAUAAGCAGUUACUGUUAACUGAAUACAUAGGUUAACAGAGCAAACCGGGGGAACUGAAACAUCUAAGUACCCCGAGGAGAAGAAAUCAACCGAGAUUCCGGUAGUAGCGGCGAGCGAACCUGGAUUAGCCCUUAAGCACUCGGUGAAGUAGGUGAACAAGCUGGAAAGCUUGGCGAUACAGGGUGAUAGCCCCGUAACCGACGCUUCAUCGAGCGUGAAAUCGAGUAGGGCGGGACACGUGAUAUCCUGUCUGAAUAUGGGGGACCAUCCUCCAAGGCUAAAUACUCCUGACUGACCGAUAGUGAACCAGUACCGUGAGGGAAAGGCGAAAAGACCCCUGUGAGGGGAGUGAAAUAGAACCUGAAACCGUGUACGUACAAGCAGUAGGAGCACCUUCGUGGUGUGACUGCGUACCUUUUGUAUAAUGGGUCAGCGACUUAUAUUCAGUGGCAAGGUUAACCGUAUAGGGGAGCCGUAGCGAAAGCGAGUCUUAACUGGGCGCUCAGUCUCUGGAUAUAGACCCGAAACCGGGUGAUCUAGCCAUGGGCAGGUUGAAGGUUGAGUAACAUCAACUGGAGGACCGAACCGACUAAUGUUGAAAAAUUAGCGGAUGACUUGUGGCUAGGGGUGAAAGGCCAAUCAAACUCGGAGAUAGCUGGUUCUCCCCGAAAGCUAUUUAGGUAGCGCCUCGGACGAAUACUACUGGGGGUAGAGCACUGUUAAGGCUAGGGGGUCAUCCCGACUUACCAACCCUUUGCAAACUCCGAAUACCAGUAAGUACUAUCCGGGAGACACACGGCGGGUGCUAACGUCCGUCGUGGAGAGGGAAACAACCCAGACCGCCAGCUAAGGUCCCAAAGUAUUGCUAAGUGGGAAACGAUGUGGGAAGGCUCAGACAGCUAGGAUGUUGGCUUAGAAGCAGCCAUCAUUUAAAGAAAGCGUAAUAGCUCACUAGUCGAGUCGGCCUGCGCGGAAGAUGUAACGGGGCUAAGCAAUACACCGAAGCUGCGGCAAUGUCUUUUAGACAUUGGGUAGGGGAGCGUUCUGUAAGCCGUUGAAGGUGAAUCGUAAGGUUUGCUGGAGGUAUCAGAAGUGCGAAUGCUGACAUGAGUAACGACAAAGGGGGUGAAAAACCUCCUCGCCGGAAGACCAAGGGUUCCUGUCCAACGUUAAUCGGGGCAGGGUGAGUCGACCCCUAAGGUGAGGCCGAAAGGCGUAAUCGAUGGGAAACGGGUUAAUAUUCCCGUACUUCUGACUAUUGCGAUGGGGGGACGGAGAAGGCUAGGUGGGCCAGGCGACGGUUGUCCUGGUUCAAGUGCGUAGGCUUGAGAGUUAGGUAAAUCCGGCUCUCUCUAAGGCUGAGACACGACGUCGAGCUACUACGGUAGUGAAGUCAUUGAUGCCAUGCUUCCAGGAAAAGCCUCUAAGCUUCAGAUAGUCAGGAAUCGUACCCCAAACCGACACAGGUGGUCGGGUAGAGAAUACCAAGGCGCUUGAGAGAACUCGGGUGAAGGAACUAGGCAAAAUGGUACCGUAACUUCGGGAGAAGGUACGCUCUUGAUGGUGAAGUCCCUCGCGGAUGGAGCUGACGAGAGUCGCAGAUACCAGGUGGCUGCAACUGUUUAUUAAAAACACAGCACUGUGCAAAAUCGCAAGAUGACGUAUACGGUGUGACGCCUGCCCGGUGCCGGAAGGUUAAUUGAUGGGGUUAGCGCAAGCGAAGCUCUUGAUCGAAGCCCCGGUAAACGGCGGCCGUAACUAUAACGGUCCUAAGGUAGCGAAAUUCCUUGUCGGGUAAGUUCCGACCUGCACGAAUGGCGUAAUGAUGGCCACGCUGUCUCCACCCGAGACUCAGUGAAAUUGAAAUCGCUGUGAAGAUGCAGUGUACCCGCGGCUAGACGGAAAGACCCCGUGAACCUUUACUACAGCUUGGCACUGAACAUUGAACCUACAUGUGUAGGAUAGGUGGGAGGCUAUGAAGACGUGACGCCAGUUGCGUUGGAGCCGUCCUUGAAAUACCACCCUUGUAUGUUUGAUGUUCUAACUUAGACCCAUUAUCUGGGUUGAGGACAGUGCCUGGUGGGUAGUUUGACUGGGGCGGUCUCCUCCCAAAGAGUAACGGAGGAGCACGAAGGUGGGCUAAUCACGGUUGGACAUCGUGAGGUUAGUGCAAUGGCAUAAGCCCGCUUAACUGCGAGAAUGACGGUUCGAGCAGGUGCGAAAGCAGGUCAUAGUGAUCCGGUGGUUCUGUAUGGAAGGGCCAUCGCUCAACGGAUAAAAGGUACUCCGGGGAUAACAGGCUGAUACCGCCCAAGAGUUCAUAUCGACGGCGGUGUUUGGCACCUCGAUGUCGGCUCAUCACAUCCUGGGGCUGAAGUCGGUCCCAAGGGUAUGGCUGUUCGCCAUUUAAAGUGGUACGCGAGCUGGGUUUAGAACGUCGUGAGACAGUUCGGUCCCUAUCUGCCGUGGGCGUUGGAAGAUUGAAGGGGGCUGCUCCUAGUACGAGAGGACCGGAGUGGACGAACCUCUGGUGUUCGGGUUGUGUCGCCAGACGCAUUGCCCGGUAGCUAAGUUCGGAAUUGAUAAGCGCUGAAAGCAUCUAAGCGCGAAGCGAGCCCUGAGAUGAGUCUUCCCUGACAGUUUAACUGUCCUAAAGGGUUGUUCGAGACUAGAACGUUGAUAGGCAGGGUGUGUAAGCGUUGUGAGGCGUUGAGCUAACCUGUACUAAUUGCCCGUGAGGCUUAACC